GCUGGGUGUAGUGGCGCACACCUGUAAUCUCAGUGACUUGGGAGGUUGAGGCAGGAGGAUUGCAAGUUCAAGACCAGCCUGGGAAAGUUAGCAAGACCCUGACUCAA
This 107-nucleotide small RNA is filed under the name Marmota monax (woodchuck). Lineage: Eukaryota; Metazoa; Chordata; Mammalia; Rodentia; Sciuridae. The record is from RNAcentral.